Molecule: ribosomal RNA, 400 nt
Filed under: uncultured bacterium
Lineage: Bacteria
Description: bacterial SSU rRNA
Rfam family: Bacterial small subunit ribosomal RNA
Source: RNAcentral
UAAGGAAUAUUGGUCAAUGGACGCAAGUCUGAACCAGCCAUGCCGCGUGAAGGAUGAAGGUCCUCUGGAUUGUAAACUUCUUUUAUCUGGGACGAAAAAGGGGCAUUCUUGCUCAACUGACGGUACCAGAGGAAUAAGCACCGGCUAACUCCGUGCCAGCAGCCGCGGUAAUACGGAGGGUGCAAGCGUUAUCCGGAUUUACUGGGUUUAAAGGGUGCGUAGGUGGGCUUUUAAGUCAGUGGUGAAAUCUCCGGGCUUAACUCGGAAACUGCCAUUGAUACUAUUAGUCUUGAAUAUCCUGGAGGUAAGCGGAAUAUGUCAUGUAGCGGUGAAAUGCUUAGAUAUGACAUAGAACACCCAUUGCGAAGGCAGCUUACUACGGGAUUAUUGACGCUGAGGC